AGUAAGAGUAUAAUUUGGUAUGCCUCAGCUGUCACCAUUUUAUAAGUGGCUCAUUCUGUUCUUAAAGUAAGUAUUUUUAUUGGAACUCAGGGUAAUUGGGGGAAUUUAUUUAGCUUCUAAAAUAUCCGGCAGGAUAGAGAAGAUUUAUUUGGCUUCAAAAAUGUCUGGUGACCACUUCUCUUAUUAGCCACUACUGCCCAUUUGCUUCAAAAAUAUAUUUAUUGGUCUCCACCAUGUGUGACACACACAGGAUUUCCAAACAUACCACUUUUGAGAAAAAUGUGCAGUAAAAAGGAGGUUUCUAGAAAGUGACAGUAACUCACAUUUAAGCACUAGCUGACCUAGGAGGAGACCUGGAUCUUCAUUCUGGUUCUGCCUUUCAUGAGACUUAAGACUUGGAGGAGCCACCUGUCCUGUAGACCCCAAGUUCCUCAGCCAUAAGCAAACGGGUUAAUCCUAAGAGUUCAGGACCAGUUGGGUGUCGUGAACGGAGCCAUUAGCAAGGUCUGUAGGAUUCAAGGACUUGGGCACAUUCACAGUCCACACUAUUGUCAUGGUCAUUGACUUACUACUUGAGCUCAAAGCCCUGACAUUUCAAAAGGUUGUCAUGAUAACAGUGAAACCUCUGAAUCCCUUAAAUCAGAAGGCAUGGCAACAUACUUUUUCUACUGGCAAUAGCUCUUACAAUGAGUGUUUCAUAAUGAA
RNAcentral lists this long non-coding RNA (705 nucleotides) under Homo sapiens (human). Its description in RNAcentral is "long non-coding RNA NONHSAT241682". The record is from RNAcentral. Lineage: Eukaryota; Metazoa; Chordata; Mammalia; Primates; Hominidae.